Molecule: transfer RNA, 74 nt
Filed under: Podarcis lilfordi (Lilford's wall lizard)
Lineage: Eukaryota; Metazoa; Chordata; Lepidosauria; Squamata; Lacertidae
Description: tRNA.Ile
Rfam family: tRNA (bases 8-66)
About the family: Transfer RNA (tRNA) molecules are approximately 80 nucleotides in length. Their secondary structure includes four short double-helical elements and three loops (D, anti-codon, and T loops).
Source: RNAcentral
GCCUGGAUAGCUCAGUUGGUAAGAGCAUGGUACUGAUAAUGCCAAGGUUGCAGGUUUGAUCCCCGUAUGGGACA